UGUGUGGUGCCAGGGCCUGGUGCCACCCCGCAGCUGGCUGUGCGAGCACCGUGACCUUCUCCACGCUUGCUCGGCUCCUUGGAUCAAAGUUGGUCCAGAGGUGCCUGGUGACAGGCUGGUUCUUCAGAACAAUCCAGCACCGGGGAGGCAACGAUAGGUCCCGCGUGAUUUUACUUCCAUGCAAUUGUUAACACAAUUACAACAGUGAAUACACGAGCCGCGCAGGAAAUCUGGAAACAGAAAAGAACAAAGAGAAAUUAGCAUUAGCCCACUGCCCACAAAUGACCACCGUCAAUAUUCUCUUGGAGUCUUCAUUCGGGGCAGACAUUCUAGAAAAGCAUGGUCACCCUGGCCGAGACUUUUUGUGCUGUGCUCUUACCGCUUAGCAAUGUAUCUGGAACAUCUGUCCUGUCAAUAAAUAUUAUGCCGCAGCAUGA
Neofelis nebulosa (Clouded leopard) is the source of this 437-nucleotide long non-coding RNA. RefSeq lists it as uncharacterized. The record is from RefSeq and is a predicted model, not a curated record. Lineage: Eukaryota; Metazoa; Chordata; Mammalia; Carnivora; Felidae. The transcript has 2 exons.